CAAUUAAAUUUAUUGUGUCAGAUCGGCUCUAUCUUGCAUAUAUUUAUUAUUUACGCAAUUCGCAAAUAUUGUUUUAUUUACUUUAUAGUUUAAACUACGCAAUAUUAUCAAUUUUCAAAAUGCGUAUUAACUAUGUUUAUUAACUGUGAUUUUAAAAUAAUGCCUAAUUUAAGCAAUUAUCGAUUAAUUUUAAUAGAUUAUAAUUUAUAAAAUUAACAAGGUUCAGUUUCAAAUAAUUUAAUUUGCAAUUUCAUUAGAAAAUAUUCCACUUUGUUAUAUUCUUGCUGUAAUUAUGAGGAAUUAUAUCCUUAUUUAAUUUAUUUUUUAUAUAUUUUAUACAAUUUACAUGAAACCGAUAAAAUUGUCAGAAAUUUCAUUACAAUUAUAAUUAUUUUUUUUCAGUUGGGAAAGUAAUGAUUUCAAUUGCUGUUUAAUUAGCCUCAAAUCUUCGUUUGCUGAUAAGCCCUAAUAAUCUACAAAUUUAUCGUUAGAAUUACUAUAAAUAAUAACUACAAAAAAUAACCAAAAAUACUGAAAUAACCAUAAAAUAAUUAUCUUUGUUUCAGUUAAAAACAAGAGAACGUAAAACAAUUUAUAGCCUCGUGGCGAUGGAAAAACAAACCUUGAGAGGUGUGAUCUUGAUUUUAUCCCUCCUGGGUAGUCCAUGAAGAGGAUGAGCAGUAGAAAGUACAGUUGACGCGUUAUUCGAAAGAGACACCUGCACGAGGCUGGAGACUCGCCAAAUAACUGAUAGCGUGGGCGUCGCGACUUCGAAGACGACGUCGAACGACCAAAGUCGAGAGGGGGUGAAGCUUCCCCGUUCUUCUUGUUCCAUUGGUCAGGAACCGAUUGUGCGAUUCGUGUCUUCCUCCUCUCCGUCUUCUGUUCUUACCGAUCGUCCCUAUCGCUGGAGGCAAACUGCGAAUUGUUGCACCGAUAGAGUCGUCAUCAGUUGCUCUGAUUUGGAGAGGAAGAUUCAUGAUACCAAGAUGAUGGACACCUAUGAUGAGAUUUAAGAUUCACUUGUGAUAGAUAAACUAUCAAUGCACUCAAGGAAAAUGAAUGGCCACUGAAAUCGAAGUUCCGCGUGACCAACCGGAAGUGUGCCCGAAAAGCGAGCGUAAGGUGCCUUUAAGAAGGAUAAAAAUGUCCUCAGAAGAACUAUAAAAAGCGUUCCACGGGUUAGCAGGCUCAAUCACGAGCGGAGUAUCCCUCGGACCUCUCCGUGACUUCCGGUUCUUGGUAGCGGGCGACGACGCGCGUGUGCCAGCGCGGUGACCGGAUAUGGCGAAGAACCGACUGACCAAAUCGUUCGACGGAGAGCCGCCGCUUCGCGUAUCGAGCUUUUCAUGCGAAUCACGCGUUCUCCUGUACCAAAUACCAAGCUCGUAUCGGUGACAUCAUACUCCGCGUUGUAUACUUGUGCCAACGUGCACAGGUGAACGCGUGCUAGAGUAUACAAUUGGAUGGAACGAUGUCGUCGUUUUCAAUCACGAAUCUCAGUCCUUUCUUUGCAGUUGCUUCACUUUAAUCGUUUAACUUGUUAACUGGACGAUGACUGAAAAAUCAUAAUUAGAAUUGACUAAUUCUGAUAAUCAUGGAAUUAAUAGUUAACAAAAAGUGUCAAUUUUAAUUUAAUGUAGAUACGAUAUAACGUCGAGUGCAACUUCAAAAGAGUAUUGAUAAUCAGUAUUUGAGAUUUUUAUGCUGUUCUUUUAUUUCUUCAUACUAUGUAUUAUUACGUUACAUUAGUUACAUAUUCUGUUUUCUAUCUUAUUUUGUCAUUCUUUUCUGAUUGUUCAAAUUCCAUCAGAAACCAUCCUAGUUGAAUUAAUCCCUUAUGGAUUCAAACGAAACAAUCUUUUCUCCAUCUAUAUAUCAAACCUGAAAUCCUACUAAAUAGAUAAUGACAAGAAAAAUUAAGUAAGAAACGAGGGAGUUAACGAGAAAGUUCUAUCAAUAAUAUAUAUCUCGUUUGUAAAAUGAAAAUUUCAAUUGGAGAAAACAUUAAACGAAAAUCACGAAAACAUAAGCAAGCACUUACUAUAAAGAAACCAAUAACACCUAACAUUAAUGAAUUGCUAAAGCUUUCACUAACGACAUUCAUGAAUUUUAAAAUAGAAAUUCCGAAGGAGGAAAACGGAAAGUAAAAAAUUACGAGAACAAAAGAAGGAAGGAAAAAUGCGAAAGAUGAGUAGACAGAAGGAGGAAAGUUUACGAAGAAAGUCAUCGUAGGGUUCGGUGAUUCGUGGCCCAUCGAGGUUUCUCUUCUGUUCUUCCUUCGUCACGGUAUUUACGUGACGAAGGUGGCAGUAGAGAAGGGAGAAAAAACCAAGAGAAGAAUAAUUAAUCAGUAAGCGAAUCACGUACGCGGGGAUGCAUAUAUAAGACCAUAGAACGUCGUGUACUUACACGAAGGAGCAAAAGGAACGCACGUAUGCACGAGCCUGCGUAUAUACCUUCCAUCCGGUUCUGGAUAAUUCGGAUGCCUAAUUUUGUCCUCUUAGAAAAGUCGACUGGCGGAAAUAUAAACUACCGUGAACGAACAAGGAAACGAUUUACGAUUAUGUUCCAUUAUCCUAUAUUUUAAAUGUUGCACCAUCUUUUGUGCUACUUUAUGUCAAUGUAAAAAAAUAAAAAAAGGAACGCAUUGGUUUGGGUUGUUUAACUUGUUACAUUUUAUGUAUGUAUAUUUUUAUAGUUAAACAUUUUAUGAUUGUUAUAGAAUAAGUGAACGACGACGCUUGUUUACGAAUAUUGGAGAUUUGAGACGCUGCAGAUUGAUGGUAGAAAAUAUGACAAAUUUCGAAAGAUAUGCUACUAACCGAUCAUAUGAUCGGCAAAAUCUCGAGAAACACCCUCGCGACUAGAUAAAGAAAGAAGCGAAAGGCAUAACGAAGAAGGAAUCUCGAAGGAAGUAGGCCGUGCAAAUGAGGAAGUCUGUCGACCUGCUCUGAAACUAAAAAAUCCAACAGUCGCUUGCUAAUUGAAGAACAAACAGGCACAGUUCAAUCGGAGGUUCUGCAGGAAAAAUCGUGACGAAAUUUAUUUUGACGACUCCAUUAUGGUACGAAAUUUUUACAUUUUUGACUUUAUAAACCAUGGAAACAUCAAGGAAUUAUGGUUCAACAUUUGAACUUUCUUAAUCUUCCUUUUCCUUUCGCUAAAGGAACAGGUGAAUAUUCCGAUCCAACUUGUAUUUAUUUGUUACACAUAAUCGAAUGCUUCCUCUUCAAAACUUUUACAAAUAUGCGUAUAAAUGUGCAAGGAAUGCACGUGGGAUAUUUAGUAUAAUUUAUAUCACGCAUACCGAUCAUUAACGAUAACAAUUAACCCCAGUUAAGAGGAAGACGAUAACGAGUUUCAGCUGGCAGCUUCUCUACCUAACCGUUUUACAAGCAACUCAUAAUCAACGAUACUUUAAUUUGCAAGCUCUCGAUACAUUUAUCACCGGCAUCCUUAAGUUCAUCAAAACUGUCUUACUACCAUACAGCUACUAAUAUCGCGCUCAAAAUAACCAAACCACAAUGUACCAUAUAAAUACUAUUCCAGUCGUUGAAUGCCUCCAUCUGUUACAUAAUUUGAGCGUUCAACUGCAACAUUUUCGUCUCUAAAUGCGCAAAAAGUGACUAAAGGACUAAAGACUUUACAUUCUUAUGAAGAUUACGGAGGAAGUGGUACCUAAAUAGAGAUCUGUGAAUAUUAUAACGAGCAUCUUUAUGCAACAUCUUUGCACAUUCAAUUUCACAUAAACGAAUAGAAAUCCGCAGUCUAAUGUCUAGAGAGGUACGAUAAAAAAGUAAAGAACUAAUCUCAAACUUUACCUACCCUUUUAUGAAUAAUUCCACGAGUUCUACUUUCUUUACACUUUCAAAAUAAAUAAUCCAAAAUAAUCCACGAUUUACUAAUCGAGCAACUAAAAUCGAUGAAAAGGAAGUAAGCAACUCGGACCUUACCUCCGUUUCUACAAAUAAUUCCAAAAGUUCCAUUCUUCCAAUAAAGGUUGCUCUCAGCCACGCUCUUCGCAGAAAAAAGUCCCUUUAAAAUACCGAUUUCACCGUGCUUCUUGGUCAAUUGAAAGAUCCGUUAAACGUCUCACACUUUGCAUAGAUCUCGUUCGUAAUUCGCGAUACUCGCGAGAUCGGUUGGCACAUUCCGUGGAAUCGAUGGUAAAACCAGCGGAACCGGCAAUUACCAUUAAAAUUACCACGAUUCACGAGCGCGACGCAACGAACGAAGGAAAAAAGCAUUGUUUCGACCAGCUACGAGCACCGACGAGACUUUUUAUCUGAACAAUAUAUCGAGCUCUUUUGCUUAUCGCAAAACCGUGACUGAUAACUCUUCUCUUUUUCCUUCGUUCUUUUCCUUUACCUUCUUCUUUUUUUUCUUUCUUUAGAACCGCAUUUUAUCACCGAGUGUAACAGGUAGCUCGUAACACGUUGCGACGAAUCAACGAACCUCGUCGCGAUUAUCGAGCCGUUUUCACGGUUCGUGGCUCGCGAGUCGAACACCACGACCCGUUUGCAGAUCAGUGUCGCCUCGACCAGGAAAUCGGUCUCGUCUUACAGGAUGCCGGUGCGUCAAUAUUGACACGUUUCUUACGAAACCACCAGAGAAAGAGGAAAGAACGAAGAUAAAACGAGAGAAGGGAGGAAUUGAGAAUUUGGAGAAGUUUUUGGGAGGUGGCAGGAUUUCAAGGUCGCUGGGUCUUUGGUAGAGUUCAGGGUCGUUUAUGGCGUUGAUUGUGAUUUAAUGUAGGGUAAGGUGAUGUGGUAUAUAGGGUGUUAAAAUUGCUUAGCGUUGGAUUAGUUAGAUUUUUAUGUUUGAUUCUUUGGGAAGUUAGGAAUUUGUAGAAGGGAGAAUUGGGAUGUUGGUUUGAAUCUUAUCGUAGAUGGGAGUGCAGGAGAAUUGUUGAAAUAGUUUUUUAAUUGAACGUAAAGAAUGGUUUAUACGUUAAAGAUAAAUAUUUUUGGGUACAGAUUAGAAUUUGCGCGUAGGUUGCGGAUUUCCUUAGUGGAGAAGCGCGCUAAAUUUCUUAGGAUUAACGAAAUUCAAUCGCAAGUUUGAAGAUUCAAAAAUUCUAAAAAUUGAGAUGUUAAAAAUCUUUUAUUAAAAAUCUUUGAAAAUUUAAAAGCGUAA
Long non-coding RNA from Bombus terrestris (buff-tailed bumblebee), 5139 nucleotides. RefSeq lists it as uncharacterized. The transcript has 4 exons. Lineage: Eukaryota; Metazoa; Arthropoda; Insecta; Hymenoptera; Apidae. The record is from RefSeq and is a predicted model, not a curated record.